CCCGGGGUCGCCACCGCCCGCCGAGUCGACUCCGCGGUGCCAGCCCCGCUGUGACGCAGGCCGCGCCGCCCGGGAACUUCCUCCCCUGCAGAGACCACCUCGCUCCCGGGACUCGCCAGCGAGGGAUGCCGCCGGCCGCCGGGGGCCUUCUCCAGGACCAGGAGAGAAAUCCUCUCUCCGCUUCACGACGCGGCCACUCCCACCCCUGAGACGCCCACCUGGCGGACUCUGAGGGAGGAUUCGGCUGCGUCUAAUACCACCUCCACCCCUCAUCCCUCACAAUGCGCGGAAAACCACAGGCGGCUGUGCGCGCAGCGUCGGCUCAGCCACCGCAGCUCCUCCCCUGGGAUGAAAAAGCACUCUGACGUCUUGAAAGCUGGCAGCUCUCUGUUUGGAAAAUCUCUGCCCAGUGAAAAAAUGUACCGACAAGAUUACUAAGUAACACAGUCUUCUGGGAAUGCCUUAUCAAUGCCAGCUAUUUGAAGAGCACCCAAAGUCAAACUAGUGCUCCGCGCUGGCAGUCUGGAAAAGGCAGAUGUAUGUGAGUAGAGAAACUGAUAGACAACUAGUUGCUGGCCAGUUGGCCUGUUUUCGUGCUACAAGCCUUCAGAAAACAGUCGCCUCCUUUUACCACGUUUCUAUUUCUAAACCAAAAUGAAAAGGACGUUUGUUCAAAAGAUAUUCUCUUGGGCUUUACAUUGCUUUCCCCCUGCUCACUCAGCAAAAUCCUACACUUUUUUUCCAAUUCCAAUGCUGCUGUUGGGUGUCCUUCCCAGAAGACAACCUUAAAUUCUCUUAGGCCUUAGGAGCUGAAUCUAACACCAGUCUUAAUUAACCUACAACAAGACAAAAAUUUAGGUCCGGGCUUACCUCCUAGUCAGCAGAUGGGAAAAAUUCCUAGAGAGUCUCUGGGAAAAAGGCAAAGGCUAACUUUAGCAGUUUGCUAGAAAAAAAAAAAUUCAAGUACCUUGUAAGUCACCAGGGUAGAUGCAGCAAUACUCUCUAAGGUAGCUUUACCUCUUCAAUUCUCUUACCUUACCUGAAUUUAAACACAGUGAGGCAAGUACCAAGGUCACAACCCUCCUGUGGAGGGCCUUAUUCUGCAAGGGCUCUCUGAUAUACUUCUAUCUUUGUACCGUUGGCACCUGACCACAAGCUUAGGCAUCCCUGAAAUGCUCCCUUGCUACCCAGUGUCAAGGAAUCAUUGAACCUUAGACUUUGUACUCAGGUGAACCAGGAUGAAAUCCCUAUUCUUCCAGUUUAAACUUAGGAAAUUUACUGUUCUUUUUAUCUGCCCCCUCCCCACCACCCACAUCCCCUUAUCAUCCCUAUAGGUAUAGUACUACAGGGUGCUGUGAGAAUUAGCUAAUAUGCUCAAAGCACCAAGAACAGUGCCAAUCACUUUGUAAGUAGUCAGUAAAUGAGAGCUACUAUUGUACUUAACUACUCUUCACUGAAAGCAAAAGAACCAGGAAUAGCAAAAAGGUUUGGAAACCUGGGAUCUGAAUCCCCUGCAAGUUGAGUCCACCCCAAGUUGCUUUAUUGCAAUACUUUUGGCUACUCUUGUGUCUGCCUUCUAAUUGGAUCAACUGGGUAGUUCUUCACGUGUAGGCAGGUGAUUCACAUGCACAUUAAUGCUUGAAAGCCACUAGUCUAAAAACUAUGCUACACUGGUUAGUUCACCUCUUCUUAUUUUGUAGCAUGUAAACCUUAAAUCUAGUGAUCUUACCUCAGUCCACCUAAUUCACAUUAACAUCCACACUUAGCAAGCUCUCUGUAAAGGACUGGUAGAAUUAGCAAUCAGUCAACUUGAGUGAGGGUCUUAAAGAAGUACAAGGCUUAUUCUCCGACUUCAGGGUGUUCAUAGUUCAUGGGAAUCAUGCAUACACACAAACCAGAAUAAACCAUUUUGAAGCAAAUGUGCUUGAAGUUCAGCACAUCUCCAGGAAGGAGAGGGUACUGUGAGCUAGAUGAACUGGGUGCACAGACUCUGUCUUGACCUUUCACUUUAUACCCAAUUCUUUAGGCUAAAUUUUGACAUUCUAAUUGGACUUCCAGAGUUAGUAGUUCUCACACUAAAGACUGUGUAAUUACAAGUUAACCAUGUACAGGUUGGUGAUAGAAGCAGAAGUAGAUAUUUCUGGGCUAUGCAGGGCUAUGGUAAGGGAUUUGGAAUGAAAUAGGUCUGGGCUUAAAUCUUGUAUCUCUAGCUAUGAACUUCAGUUUCCUCAUCAGUCUAUUGGAAUAUAACUACCUUUUAGGGUUGUGGUGAGACUUAGAAUAUCUGUAACCCCUCUAGUGGGUUGUAUGGUAACAGCAAUUGUGUCACAUUGUUGUUUUGUUGUUAGCUGUAAGAAAACUCAGGCUGGGCUGAGUUGUUCCUUGAAGGCGUAAUUAAUUAAUUUUUUCUGAGACAGAGUCUCAUGCUGUGUGAUCUCGCUGACUGCAACUUCCGCCUUCCAGGUUCAAGCAAUUCUCCUUGCCUCAUCCUCCUGACUAGCUGGGAUUACAGGUGCCCGCCACCACGCCCAGCUAAUUUUUGUAUUUAUUUAUUUUUUUUAGUAGAGAUGGGUUUUCACCAUGUUGGCCAGGCUGGUCUCAAACUCCUGACCUCAGGUGAUCCACCCGCCUUGGCCUCCCAAAGUGCUGGGAUUAUAGGCAUGAGCCACCACGCCUGGCCUGAAGGCAUAAUUUAAAAGUCACCUUCUCUAUGAAGCCUCCACAGGUUCUAGGCAAGUAUAACUCUUCCUUCCUUGUGUGACCACAGCACUUACCAUGGCAUGCUCUCAUUUGUCUCUUUACAUGCCUCUUCACUACAGAGUCUGGGAGCCUCUCCAGGGCAGGGCUGUAUCUUGAUUCACUUUUAUGUCCAUUAUCAAUACCCUGCACAGGACCUGAUAUUAAAUAUUGAAAUAAUGAGUUUUUAAGUGUUUCAGUUUCUUGUAUUGGUUCUGACUUUCAGUAUAACUCUUAUUAUACUACAGGCUCUAAAACCUGAACCCUUUAGCUCAUAAAUAAUUCAUACUAAAUUUAUGUAUUAUGUAUAUGUAUCUGCUUAAACCUUGAUGAUGUCAAUGCUGGGAUUGUUCUUUCAGAUCAACCUGCUAUUCUUGUUUUGUUUUGCAUUUGAUUUCAGUUGAUCCUACCUGGUAAGAGUGCAAGUAAAAUCUACAUUCUAAACCAAAACCACCAGCAGGAUUUUACGCUGCAUUCUCUAUCCACCCUGUGCACAUCUGCUCCCCAUACCAUUUCUGAGCUUUGUGGGAAGAGGCUGAGCUAAAAGAAAACGUUGUUGUUUUAAGUUUCAGUUGUUUAGACUGUUGCAACCAUUAGCACUUUCUGAAUUAAUACCUGCAAGAUAAAUGCUACCUUUAGCAACAGUUUUGAAAUCCUUGACUCUGUGCCAUUAAAAAUGCUAGACAGGGAAAAAUAAAACCUUCCCUAGAAAAUUCUUUUGCCCAGAAAGUUGCCUGAGAGGUAAUGUCAAAUGUGGACUUGAUCCCAAAAUGGCAGUUGAAUUUGUACCAGAGGAGAUGGUGGUCUAUUGGGGCUAAAAAUGAUACCCCAAAAUGAAGGAAUAAAAAGCAGCCUCAGAAGCAAAGUCUCUGUCUAGCUUUCUCCUGCCCUCCUGUCUCUCACUCUCUUAUUCUCCCUUGAAGCAAGCCAUAGAAACUGGAAUCCUUCUUCCCUGAGGUGGGUCAUAUAAACCAGAACCUUUUCCCCAAAACCAGCCUUAGAGCCUAAACAUUUUACUCUAAUCUUCUCCCUCCCUUCCCUUUCUCUUUCUUGCUAACUGCUGGCCAUAAAGAAAUUAAGACCCUCAUUCCAGGGGGUCCUACCCCAUACCUGGGAGGAAGGAAUGUUAUAUCGAAAGGCCAAGAAGAAAUCUGAACAGACAGGCCUUGCUGGAUUUCCCCAUUCCCCUUGCUGGAUCAUACCCCUUUUGUCCAAUCAUAUUUCUACACAGCUUUCCAUACUUCAUUGAACCCAAGCAUAAAAAUGGGCCAAGAGAAGGUGGCUCAUACCUAUAACCCCAGCAUUCUGGGAGGCCGAGGUGCAACAUCACUUGGGCCCAGAAGUUACAGGUUACAGUGAGCUAUGAUCAGGACAUUGCACUCCAGCCUGAUCUACAGAGUGAGACCCUAAAUCAAAAAUAAAAAUAAUAAUAAAGGAAUAGUUGCCCCUAUAUCUUGGGGUCUUCAUUCUGAAGGCUCCUGUGUCACACAAAACUACGAUCAAAUAAAUUUGUUAUGCUUUUCUCUUGUUAAUUUGCCUUUGUUAGAGAGGUGUCAACUGUUAUGAUAGGAAGGAAAGGAAUCACCCCUUUUUGCUCCCUACAGUACCAAGGACCUAAAAAUAGGAUUCUAUAAAACUUUGAAUCAGAUUCUUCUAAAACAAACCUUAUUUAUUUUACCACCCCAAGACAGAAUUGUUUGAUCCCACUAACUUGUGAAAUUUUCUUUGGAAAUAGUAAAGAAUAAACACUUAUGAGGUACACAUUAUGUGCUAAAUGCAGGUUGAAUAUCUGUUACCCAAAUUCCUUGGGACCAGAAGUGUUCUGGAUUUCAGAUUUUGAAUAUUUGCACUAUACUUACCAGUUGAGCAUACCAAAUUCAAAAGUCUAAAAUGCUCCAAUGAGAAUUUCCUAUAAGCCUUAUGUCAGUGUUCAGAAAAUUUGGAGCACCUCAGAUUUGGGAUGCUCAAUGUGUGCUAGCUUUAUAUGCAUUGUCUCAUUUAUUCACCAUAGCUAUCCAUUACACAGGCAGUAUUAUUUUCUCAUAUUGACAGAUGAGAAAACAGAGGCCCAUUGUAAUCCAGUAGCUAGCUGAAGGUCACAUAAUCAGUGAGUAGAAGAGUUGGGAUUUGGGCCUAGGCAAGUCAAUUUCAGGGUUCUCAUGCUUACUCACUACUUAAUCCUAUAGGAAAGGAGUAUUUAUUUUUAAAUGGAACCCAUCAGUUAUUUCAGUAAGGUUAAUAAUGUACUUUUUCAGUAUUUCAAAAUUGCAUUGAUUUGUGCUUUUUCCACUAGUGUACUCAUAUCCCAUAUGUGCCUUCAUGAGCUGGUUUUACAGCUUACUCUUUAAUUGAAAAGCACUUUACAACUGAAAGCAAACUUCUUAAUCAAAGAUCAUAAUGUGUCCGUAGCUCCGAGUUAAGGCAACAUGAACUAUAACCAGACAGAGAGUCUCAUUCUUAGAAUUAUUGUUCAGAUGGGUCGAUAGAUAAGUAACUUUCACAUGAGAAAUAUUAUUAUAUUAUGAUAUAAUAAGAAAUAUAUAUAUAUAUUGGUCAUUGUCUAUGGUUCCUGGCUUACAGCUUCUAAAACUCUUGUAAUUUCCUCAGUGAUUAGAGCUAUAGGAUCAUUUUUGAUUAUAUUUGGGUUUUGUCUUUAGUUCCUGAAAUAGCUCCAGAUAAAGGUGAAAAAAGUGUCUUUUAUUACUCAUAAGAUGUCUUCUUCAACCACACCUGGGUUUAUGUUAAUGAAGCAAUUUUUGGAAAGCCCCUAGAUAACUGCAGGAUGGGAGCUGGUUGCUAUGGAAACUUAAACGUGUGUGUGUGUGUGUGUGUGUGUGUGUGUGUGUGUGUGUGUGUGUGUCUAGACUAGAGGGUUGGAAUUUUCAGCCCCACCUGGACCUUUGACCUUUUGGGAGUGUAGAGGAACUGGAAACUGACUUAAUUACCAACGCUAAUGAUUUAAUCAAUCGGGCCUAUGUAAUGAUGCCUUUAUAGAAACCAAAAAGGAUGGAGUUCAGAGACCUUCCAUGUUGAUGAACAAGAACACAUUCACCUGCUGUAGGGGUAGGUGUACCCCAAAACUCCACUGAUACAGAAGCUUCUAUACUCAAGACCCUUCUAUACUCAAGACCCUGGAUCUUACCCUAUAUAUCUCUUCAUCUGGCUAUUUAUUUGCAUCUUUUAAUAUAUCCUUUGUAAUAAACUAGUAAUCUAGAAAGCAAACUUUUCCUAGCUCUGUAGGCCAUUCUAGUAAAUGAUUAAACCUGAGGAGGAGUUAUGGGAACCUUUGAUUUGUAGACAAGUUGGACAAAAGUGGUAUAUAUCCUAAUAUAACAUGGGAACCUGCCACUUAUGAUUGGCGUGUGAAAUUGGGGGAUGGGGAAGCAGUCUUGUGGGACUGAGCCCUUAGCCUGUGGGGUCUAAUGCUAUCUUCAGGUAAUAUCAGAACUGAGUUAAAUUAUAGGAUACCAGUCAGUGUCCAUUGGAGAACUGAAUUAUUGUGAGGAGAAACCCACACAUUUGGUGGCUAAAAGUAUUGAUGUGAGUAGUAGCAUAUAGGAGUUUUUUGCUAUAUACAUAUGUAGUGUAAGUUUAAAGUAAAAAGUUUUGUAUUGUCAGGAGUGACUUCUUUGCACCUAAAUAUCACUGCUAUAACUGCGUUACUAAGGAAUAGUUGCUUGCUUUUAUGUAUUUGGCACCUGCAGCUACUGUUCUAAAAAGUUUGCAUGUGUUAACCUAUUAAUUAAAUCUACAAAUGACUGGCUGUACCCAUGAAGUGAGUUAUUCUAAAGACAAUGGAAC
This is a long non-coding RNA of Homo sapiens (human), 6537 nucleotides long. Ensembl annotates it as LRRC8C divergent transcript. Its record names the gene LRRC8C-DT. NCBI's taxonomy places the organism in Eukaryota, Metazoa, Chordata, Mammalia, Primates, Hominidae. The record is from Ensembl.